AUAUUUACCUUGUUAAUUCCUAAUUAAGCUGUUACUAAUAUUCAUUGCACUUGGGAGGGUGUCCAUCUAAGGUCGGCCCAAGUGGUCGAGCUUAUGUCAUAAUUUAUGGCAAUGGGGACCUA
Molecule: small nuclear RNA, 122 nt
Filed under: Nicotiana attenuata
Lineage: Eukaryota; Viridiplantae; Streptophyta; Magnoliopsida; Solanales; Solanaceae
Description: snRNA U1
Rfam family: U1 spliceosomal RNA
About the family: U1 is a small nuclear RNA (snRNA) component of the spliceosome (involved in pre-mRNA splicing). Its 5' end forms complementary base pairs with the 5' splice junction, thus defining the 5' donor site of an intron.
Source: RNAcentral